GACGAACCGUGCGAACGUUAUUCGGAAUCACUGGGCUUAAAGCGCGUGUAGGCGGCUUGGCACGUCUCUCGCUGAAAUCCCCUGGCUCAACCAGGGAAGUGGCGGGGAUACGACCAAGCUUGAGGGGGGUAGGGGGGACGGGAACUCACGGUGGAGCGGUGAAAUGCGUUGAGAUCGUGAGGAACGCCCGCGGCGAAAGCGCGUCCCUGGACCCCACCUGACGCUGAGACGCGAAAGCCAGGGGAGCGAACGGG
This 254-nucleotide ribosomal RNA is filed under the name uncultured bacterium. Its description in RNAcentral is "partial 16S ribosomal RNA". It matches the Rfam family "Bacterial small subunit ribosomal RNA", at positions 524 to 776 of the family's 1533-position model. The record is from RNAcentral.